RNAcentral lists this ribosomal RNA (500 nucleotides) under uncultured bacterium. RNAcentral describes it as "partial 16S ribosomal RNA". It matches the Rfam family "Bacterial small subunit ribosomal RNA", at positions 30 to 523 of the family's 1533-position model. The record is from RNAcentral.
AUUGAACGCUGGCGGCAUGCCAUACACAUGCAAGUCGAACGGCAGCACGGGAGCAAUCCUGGUGGCGAGUGGCGAACGGGUGAGUAAAGUAUCGGAACGUGCCCAGUCGUGGGGGAUAACGUAGCGAAAGUUACGCUAAUACCGCAUACGAUCUAUGGAUGAAAGCGGGGGAUCGCAAGACCUCGCGCGAUUGGAGCGGCCGAUAUCAGAUUAGGUAGUUGGUGGGGUAAAGGCUCACCAAGCCGACGAUCUGUAGCUGGUCUGAGAGGACGACCAGCCACACUGGGACUGAGACACGGCCCAGACUCCUACGGGAGGCAGCAGUGGGGAAUUUUGGACAAUGGGCGAAAGCCUGAUCCAGCCAUGCCGCGUGCAGGAUGAAGGCCUUCGGGUUGUAAACUGCUUUUGUACGGAACGAAAAGGUUUGGGCUAAUAAGCUGAGCUCAUGACGGUACCGUAAGAAUAAGCACCGGCUAACUACGUGCCAGCAGCCGCCGCCG